This 375-nucleotide unclassified non-coding RNA is filed under the name soil metagenome. RNAcentral's name for it is "partial contains 5.8S ribosomal RNA, internal transcribed spacer 2, and large subunit ribosomal RNA". The stretch from base 3 to 119 matches the Rfam family "5.8S ribosomal RNA", at positions 38 to 154 of the family's 154-position model. The record is from RNAcentral.
GAGAAGAACGUAGCGAAAUGCGAUAAGUAAUGUGAAUUGCAGAAUUCAGUGAAUCAUCGAAUCUUUGAACGCAUCUUGCGCUCCUUGGUAUUCUGAGGAGCAUGCCUGUUUGAGUGUCAUUAAAUUCUCAACUACACUGACUUUGAAUUGGUGUGGCUUGGAUUUGGGGGGAAAAUUGUUGUGGGCUUUUUGUAUAGUCUGCUCCCCUGAAAUUGAUUAGCGGUACCUUUGUGGAACUGUCUACAGGUGUGAUAAUUAUCUACAUCUUAGACAUCUGCUGGAAUGCUGCUCUCUAAACCUUACUUGUAUUGACAAUCUUGACCUCAAAUCAGGUAGGACUACCCGCUGAACUUAAGCAUAUCAAUAAGCGGAGGA